AGUGAACGCUGGCGGUAGGCCUAACACAUGCAAGUCGAACGGCAGCACAGUAAGAGCUUGCUCUUACGGGUGGCGAGUGGCGGACGGGUGAGGAAUACAUCGGAAUCUACUUUUUCGUGGGGGAUAACGUAGGGAAACUUACGCUAAUACCGCAUACGACCUACGGGUGAAAGCAGGGGAUCUUCGGACCUUGCGCGAUUGAAUGAGCCGAUGUCGGAUUAGCUAGUUGGCGGGGUAAAGGCCCACCAAGGCGACGAUCCGUAGCUGGUCUGAGAGGAUGAUCAGCCACACUGGAACUGAGACACGGUCCAGACUCCUACGGGAGGCAGCAGUGGGGAAUAUUGGACAAUGGGCGCAAGCCUGAUCCAGCCAUACCGCGUGGGUGAAGAAGGCCUUCGGGUUGUAAAGCCCUUUUGUUGGGAAAGAAAAGCAGCAGGUUAAUACCCCGCUGUCCUGACGGUACCCAAAGAAUAAACACCGGCUAACUUCGU
RNAcentral lists this ribosomal RNA (491 nucleotides) under uncultured bacterium. Its description in RNAcentral is "partial 16S ribosomal RNA". It matches the Rfam family "Bacterial small subunit ribosomal RNA", at positions 29 to 506 of the family's 1533-position model. The record is from RNAcentral.